CGCCGAACCGUGCACAAGUCUCCUGGAAUGGAGCGUCAUAGAGGGUGAGAAUCCCGUCUUUGGCACGGACACMCGGGGCUUUUGUGAUGCGCUCUCGAAGAGUCNAGUUGUUUGKGAAUGCANCUCAAAAUGGGUGGUGAACUCCAUCUAAAGCUAAAUAUUGGCGAGAGACCGAUAGCGAACAANUACCGUGAGGGAAAGAUGAAAAGCNCUUUGGAAAGAGAGUGAAACAGUACRUGAAAUUGUUGAAAGGGAAACGCUUGAAGUCAGUCGCGUCGGCRGAGACUCAGCCUUGCCUCGGCUUGGUGUACUUCUCUGUCGACGGGUCAGCAUCAAUUUCGGGCCUUGGAUAAUGGCGAGGGAAAUGUGACACCUUUCUAGGUGUGUUAUAGUCUCUCGUCGGAUGCAAGGGUUGGGAUUGAGGAACUCANCACGCGCCCUCGGGCGGNCGGGGCUUUGCCCACGAUACGUGCUUAGGAUGUUGGCGUAAUGGCUUUAAACGACCCGUCUUGAAACACGGACCAAGGAGUCUAACAUGCCCGCGAGUGUUCGGGUGGAAAACUCGUGCGCGCAAUGAAAGUGAAAGUUGGGACCUCUGUCGUGGAGGGCACCGACGCCCGGACCAGACCUUCUGUGACGGAUCUGCGGUAGAGCGUGUAUGUUAGGACCCGAAAGAUGGUGAACUAUGCCUGAAUANGGUGAAGCCAGAGGAAACUCUGGUGGA
Molecule: ribosomal RNA, 724 nt
Filed under: Russula rubroglutinata (nom. ined.)
Lineage: Eukaryota; Fungi; Basidiomycota; Agaricomycetes; Russulales; Russulaceae
Description: Russula sp. 'rubroglutinata' partial large subunit ribosomal RNA
Source: RNAcentral